GUGUGCCUAAUACAUGCAAGUCGUACGCACUGGCCCAACUGAUUGAUGGUGCUUGCACCUGAUUGACGAUGGAUCACCAGUGAGUGGCGGACGGGUGAGUAACACGUAGGUAACCUGCCCCGGAGCGGGGGAUAACAUUUGGAAACAGAUGCUAAUACCGCAUAACAGCAAAAGCCACAUGGCUUUUGCUUGAAAGAUGGCUUUGGCUAUCACUCUGGGAUGGACCUGCGGUGCAUUAGCUAGUUGGUAAGGUAACGGCUUACCAAGGCGAUGAUGCAUAGCCGAGUUGAGAGACUGAUCGGCCACAAUGGAACUGAGACACGGUCCAUACUCCUACGGGAGGCAGCAGUAGGGAAUCUUCCACAAUGGGCGCAAGCCUGAUGGAGCAACACCGCGUGAGUGAAGAAGGGUUUCGGCUCGUAAAGCUCUGUUGUUGGAGAAGAACGUGCGUGAGAGUAACUGUUCACGCAGUGACGGUAUCCAACCAGAAAGUCACGGCUAACUACGUGCCAGCAGCCGCGGUAAUACGUAGGUGGCAAGCGUUAUUCGGAUUUAUUGGGCGUAAAGCGAGCGCAGGCGGUUGCUUAGGUCUGAUGUGAAAGCCUUCGGCUUAACCGAAGAAGUGCAUCGGAAACCGGGCGACUUGAGUGCAGAAGAGGACAGUGGAACUCCAUGUGUAGCGGUGGAAUGCGUAGAUAUAUGGAAGAACACCAGUGGCGAAGGCGGCUGUCUGGUCUGCAACUGACGCUGAGGCUCGAAAGCAUGGGUAGCGAACAGGAUUAGAUACCCUGGUAGUCCAUGCCGUAAACGAUGAGUGCUAGGUGUUGGAGGGUUUCCGCCCUUCAGUGCCGGAGCUAACGCAUUAAGCACUCCGCCUGGGGAGUACGACCGCAAGGUUGAAACUCAAAGGAAUUGACGGGGGCCCGCACAAGCGGUGGAGCAUGUGGUUUAAUUCGAAGCUACGCGAAGAACCUUACCAGGUCUUGACAUCUUGCGCUAACCUUAGAGAUAAGGCGUUCCCUUCGGGGACGCAAUGACAGGUGGUGCAUGGUCGUCGUCAGCUCGUGUCGUGAGAUGUUGGGUUAAGUCCCGCAACGAGCGCAACCCUUGUUACUAGUUGCCAGCAUUAAGUUGGGCACUCUAGUGAGACUGCCGGUGACAAACCGGAGGAAGGUGGGGACGACGUCAGAUCAUCAUGCCCCUUAUGACCUGGGCUACACACGUGCUACAAUGGACGGUACAACGAGUCGCAAGCUCGCGAGAGUAAGCUAAUCUCUUAAAGCCGUUCUCAGUUCGGACUGUAGGCUGCAACUCGCCUACACGAAGUCGGAAUCGCUAGUAAUCGCGGAUCAGCAUGCCGCGGUGAAUACGUUCCCGGGCCUUGUACACACCGCCCGUCACACCAUGGGAGUUUGUAACGCCCAAAGUCGGUGGCCUAACCUUUAUGGAGGGAGCCGCCUAAGGCGGG
This 1468-nucleotide ribosomal RNA is filed under the name Limosilactobacillus reuteri. RNAcentral's name for it is "bacterial SSU rRNA". It matches the Rfam family "Bacterial small subunit ribosomal RNA". The record is from RNAcentral. Lineage: Bacteria; Bacillati; Bacillota; Bacilli; Lactobacillales; Lactobacillaceae.